GGUGACCUCGGAUCAGGUAGGGAUA
This 25-nucleotide ribosomal RNA is filed under the name Fulvoflamma eucalypti. RNAcentral's name for it is "partial 28S ribosomal RNA". The record is from RNAcentral. Lineage: Eukaryota; Fungi; Ascomycota; Leotiomycetes; Helotiales. RNAcentral also lists the same sequence under 1 other name.